UACUAAAAGAAGAGUUUGUAACGAAAUGUAUUGCUGGUUGUGCUGGGCAGGUUUUGGAGAGCUCAUUAGUGGAUUGUGGUUUCUUCUCGAAAGCGUUUGGAUUCUCUGCCAUGACUCACACUAACAGGAAGGCUGAUGAAAUAUCUCCAGCGGUAACUGGAAUGUAUUCUCUUUAUGACUUAAAGUGAGAUUCACUAACAUCAGAAUUAGAUAUGAUCACAACUGAAUAGCAGCAGAAAAGUGAAGCAUGUUUGUGGUAAAAUAAUAUUUUACCCUUUUGAGCCCUGACCCAUCUCAAGUCAGAGAAUAAUUGGACAUGCAGCACCAGUGCAGAUGGCUGGCCCUCUGAAAGGGGCCUGACUUGCUUUGAAGACAUGUUCCAGUGAGUUACAAUGCCUUAUCACUAGGAGGGGGCAUCCAGGCAUUUCUGUUUCUGUGUUUUAUGGAACAGAUAGAAGAUAUCUGGAAAUUUGGAUAAUUAGUGACAAGAUACAGUCCAUUGUUUUGAGGAAGUCAGGAUGGGAAUUCCAGAAGCCAGUCACAUCACAUCUGCAAGAGCAAGCAAGAGUCAAGAGCAAGCAGAGAACCAAUGCAUCUUUACUUGCUCUAAGUGAGCUUUCUCCUUUCUCAUACUCUUCAGGACUACUGCCACACCUAAGGAAAGAUGUCACAACAAGCUGGGUCUUCCCACAUCAAGUAACCAUCAAGAUUAAUAUUUCUCAGACAUACCCACAGGCCAGCUUGUUCUACAUUGUCAACUCAAGUCAUCAGUUAAAACUAACCAGUACAAAGAAAAAUGCAAAUCAAAAUCCCAUAACACCUCAGAAAUAGCCACAAUGGUUCAGCUGUUUUAUUAGGGGGGUUGUAUUUUCUGGUCUUCACUGGAAGUUGACCAGAUAUUAAUGUGUAAUGCUCUGCUCUAGUAAUACUGCUUUUCUAACUACUUUGAAAUACAAGAUGUUCAGAUGUGGAGGCUUUCCCAUGGAAAGAGGGAACUGCCUUGCAGUUUUCCAGUGAUCCUACAUUUUAUAGUCACAACAACAACACACCUCAAUGCUGGUUUCUGCACAUCUUCACAAUACUUAUUUUCUAUACAUAUUUAUGUUUAUA
This 1110-nucleotide long non-coding RNA is filed under the name Cricetulus griseus (Chinese hamster). RNAcentral's name for it is "lncRNA (ENSCGRG00015034332.1)". Lineage: Eukaryota; Metazoa; Chordata; Mammalia; Rodentia; Cricetidae. The record is from RNAcentral.